This 386-nucleotide long non-coding RNA is filed under the name Nicotiana tabacum (common tobacco). Its description in RNAcentral is "long non-coding RNA (NTAB_LNC015982)". Lineage: Eukaryota; Viridiplantae; Streptophyta; Magnoliopsida; Solanales; Solanaceae. The record is from RNAcentral.
UGAUGCCUUGUUUUUAAUAAGAAUUUUAACUUCUAUACGCUGAAGAAUGUAAAGUUACACUUGUCAAAUCACUUAAACUACAGAUGAUUGUCAACACACAAGUUUAAUGUUAUUAAUUUAGUUAGAUUGGUGUUAAGGACUCAUUGUUUCAUUUUACAACCAUGAAAAAUUUUUAAGCUAUGUCAUAAGUUUUAAACCCUUUUGGGAGUAGAUGAGAAUUCUUUCAAACACAACUAGGACCACAACAUUCAGAUAUGGUGAAUCACUGCAUUAUUUCAUCUAUCUAAACAAAAAGAGCCAAACCUACAGUAGCUCAUUCACGUGAACAUCACUAUCUUUAGCCAAACUCAUAGCAUAUUUUUCAAUGGCAUGGGUCCCCUAAGAUA